CAGUCGCCACGGGAAUACGAAGGGUGCAAGCGUUACUCGGAAUUACUGGGCGUAAAGCGUGCGUAGGUGGUGGUUUAAGUCCGUUGUGAAAGCCCUGGGCUCAACCUGGGAAUUGCAGUGGAUUCUGGGUCACUAGAGUGUGGUAGAGGAUAGUGGAAUUUCCGGUGUAGCAGUGAAAUGCGUAGAGAUCGGAAGGAACAUCUGUGGCGAAGGCGACUAUCUGGGCCAACACUGACACUGAGGCACGAAAGCGUGGGGAGCAAACAGGAUUAGAUACCCCGGUAGUCCCUGUCUCUUAUAC
This 301-nucleotide ribosomal RNA is filed under the name uncultured bacterium. Its description in RNAcentral is "partial 16S ribosomal RNA". It matches the Rfam family "Bacterial small subunit ribosomal RNA", at positions 509 to 807 of the family's 1533-position model. The record is from RNAcentral.